CCUACGGGUGGCUGCAGUCGAGAAUAUUCGGCAAUGGGCGAAAGCCUGACCGAGCGACGCCGCGUGCGGGAUGAAGGCCUUCGGGUUGUAAACCGCUGUCAGAGGGGAUGAAGUAUCGAUGGGUUCUCCCAUUGAAUUGACAGAUCCUCAGAGGAAGGGUGGGCUAAGUUCGUGCCAGCAGCCGCGGUAAGACGUACCACCCGAACGUUAUUCGGAUUCACUGGGCUUAAAGAGUCCGUAGGCGGUCUAGAAAGUUGGAUGUGAAAUACCUCGGCCUAACCGAGGAACUGCAUUCAAAACUACUAGACUCGAGAGAUAUAGAGGUGAGCGGAACUGAUGGUGGAGCGGUGAAAUGCGUUGAUAUCAUCAGGAACACCGGUGGCGAAAGCGGCUCACUGGGUAUCUUCUGACGCUGAGGGACGAAAGCUAGGGGAGCGAACGGGAUUAGAUACCCUUGUAGUC
Molecule: ribosomal RNA, 462 nt
Filed under: uncultured bacterium
Lineage: Bacteria
Description: bacterial SSU rRNA
Rfam family: Bacterial small subunit ribosomal RNA
Source: RNAcentral